GAUGAACGCUGGCGGCGUGCCUAAUACAUGCAAGUCGAGCGAACGGACGAGAAGCUUGCUUCUCUGAUGUUAGCGGCGGACGGGUGAGUAACACGUGGAUAACCUACCUAUAAGACUGGGAUAACUUCGGGAAACCGGAGCUAAUACCGGAUAAUAUUUUGAACCGCAUGGUUCAAAAGUGAAAGACGGUCUUGCUGUCACUUAUAGAUGGAUCCGCGCUGCAUUAGCUAGUUGGUAAGGUAACGGCUUACCAAGGCAACGAUGCAUAGCCGACCUGAGAGGGGGAUCGGCCACACGGAAACUGGGACACGGUCCAGACUCCUACGGGAGGCAGCAGGAGGGAACCCUCCGCAAUGGGCGAAAGCCUGACGGAGCAACGCCGCGGGAGUGAUGAAGGUCUUCGGAUCGUAAAACUCUUUUAUUAGGGAAGAAAAUAUGUGUAAGUAACUGUGCACAUCUUGACGGUACCUAAGCAGAAAGCCACGGCCAACUACGU
This 496-nucleotide ribosomal RNA is filed under the name uncultured bacterium. RNAcentral's name for it is "partial 16S ribosomal RNA". It matches the Rfam family "Bacterial small subunit ribosomal RNA", at positions 28 to 506 of the family's 1533-position model. The record is from RNAcentral.